AGAGACAGGGGCUGGUGUUGGAGAAGAGAUCAAGCUUUUCCUUGCAUUAUGAUAAUUCUCAAGAGUUGGUGUUGGCCAGGGAACAUUUCCAAUGACCAGUCUGGAUAUGAUAACUCUGGUUCCAGCAGGCUGAGAAGAAAGAAAUAGCUGGAAUGGAUUGGUAUGAUCUUUUCCCUUUGUGGACUAGUUGCACAUGUUUAUCUGGUUACAGAGCUUUAAAGCCAGGUGAUGGCCAGGUGGGGUGCUGAUAAACAAAAACUGGUACUCUUGACCAGAGUUUCCCAGUGCAUAACGUAGGCUUGGAAUAUAUCUUCAUUUGGAUUCAAUGCAUUUAUUUUUUCAUGUGAAGAUUUUUGAAUACCAUGCACAGUUCAGAACAUUGUGUACAGGCUCAUGUAGAGUAGAAUGAACUAUUCUCAGCACACAACACAUUCAUCAAAUAUAGUCGCUUUAUUUUUUAAAGAAAUAAUUUGUAAACAAGAUUCACUUUUUUUUUUUUUUUUCUUUGGGGCUACUCUGGAGUAAAUUUAUGCUCAGAGUGAAUACAACUGGCAAAACCAGGCAUGGAUCUCUUGCAAACUAUUUCCUGUCUGAACCGUGUGUACUCUGUUAUUGGGAAUUUAUUUUCAUGCUGCUCAGUUUUAUGAAUUCAGCUGGACCACAGCAUUACACACAUUUCCUAUAUGGGAACUCUACAUCUAUACUCCACUACUACCCUGUGUUCUCAGUCUGCCUGAACUCUGAGAAAAUAGCACCAAUGUUUUGCUUCCUUCUCUUCCUAUGGAAUUGUUGUCCUAAGAAGAACUUUAUUGCCAGAAGUUUUAUAUAAAAUAUCAGCCAUGGACUUUACUGGGAAAAGAGCAAGAAAAAGGAGGAAAAAGGGGAGAACUAAAUGUGCAGCCACCCUUCCAUUAGUCCUGAAAGGUACACAAGCCUCGGUUCAGGGGGUGGCAUACAGGUUCCUAUGUUACAGCUGCGUUUGAUCUUGACAAGAGAAAUGGCUCCAUUGGUUUCAAUAUUGAAGUAACUCUGUGAACUCUAUGGUGUGUGUAACACAAGAUGUCAGGCUAAAUGACUGAAAAGUCCUCAUUGGUCUUCAAAUCAAUAAAUUCCAAUGGGUGAUUUUUUGAAUCAUAUUGAAAUGUAUGUUUAUGACUAACUUUCAUAGCUGUUGCUAUAAUAUAGUGCCUGUGGGCUGUUGAAUCACAUGCUUUAUUUCAGGCAUAGCUUAUGUACCUUCAAGAGAGGAUUGUAUAAUCCCCUUUUAGAUUAGGUGGUCUGUGACAAUGCAGAUGAACGCAAAGUACAUCUAGAGAAAAACUGGAAAGCAAUAAGGUUACUUGGUUUAAUGUCAAUGUUAUUGUCUUUGGUUUAUAAUAAAUGAACUUUAGAAAGGGUUUCACUUACAACAAACACUUCUGAUAGCAUAAUAGAGUGAAAAAUGAAUUUUUACAGGCCCUUAUUCAGGUAAACUAUAACAGCAAGUGGAUACAAUGUCAGGUGAAUGGCUUAUGCAUUAUAUGAAUGUGUGAACCAGACACUUCUGUUGACAUUUUACAGAAGUCAUUCCACUUUCAAUUGAUUUAUUUUACCAUUGCAAACACUGUUAUCUUCUCAGCGGAUGACUUCUUUUUUUUUGUUUUACUCUUUUUUUUUUUUCUUUCCCAGAUUUUGUGUUGUCGUAUGAAAUGUUCUGUUAAUAAGGUUUUAUUUAUUUAGUUAUUUAACAGUCAUGUUAUUGAUCCCUUUCAAUUAAAAGGUGAACAGAACAAUAAUUGGUGAGGGAUGACUUCCACACUCAGCUGAUAUACAGCCAGAUACAGUCGAGGAUUUCUGAGUGGUAUGGCAGGCACUUUUUCAUGUGACUGAGAGUAUGUACUACACCUUCUGUGAGGUCUACCACCCGUUGUCUUUUUUUUUUUUUUUUAAUUAUUAUUAUUACUACUUUUUCCUUAUCCUUUUUUACCCUAACCAUUCUUUUCCAUAUAUUUGUUAUUUCACAGCCUUAUCUUGCUCAUUGGCAUGAAAAAUUACAGCCCUAUAGUGUACACCAGUGUCAGAGUUCAUAGAAAAAUAAAUAGUUCUGAAACAUGUUUGACGGAUAAA
Long non-coding RNA from Cygnus atratus (black swan), 2106 nucleotides. RefSeq lists it as uncharacterized. NCBI's taxonomy places the organism in Eukaryota, Metazoa, Chordata, Aves, Anseriformes, Anatidae. The record is from RefSeq and is a predicted model, not a curated record. The transcript is spliced from 2 exons.